UGGGGAAUUUUGGACAAUGGGCGAAAGCCUGAUCCAGCCAUACCGCGUGCGGGAAGAAGGCCUUCGGGUUGUAAACCGCUUUUGUCAGGGAAGAAAUACUUCGGGCUAAUACCCUGGGGUGAUGACGGUACCUGAAGAAUAAGCACCGGCUAACUACGUGCCAGCAGCCGCGGUAAUACGUAGGGUGCAAGCGUUAAUCGGAAUUACUGGGCGUAAAGCGUGCGCAGGCGGUUCUAUAAGACAGAUGUGAAAUCCCCGGGCUCAACCUGGGAACUGCAUUUGUGACUGUAGAGCUAGAGUACGGUAGAGGGGGAUGGAAUUCCGCGUGUAGCAGUGAAAUGCGUAGAUAUGCGGAGGAACACCGAUGGCGAAGGCAAUCCCCUGGACCUGUACUGACGCUCAUGCACGAAAGCGUGGGGAGCAAACAGGAUUAGAUACCCUGGUAGUCCACGCCCUAAACGAUGUCAACUGG
RNAcentral lists this ribosomal RNA (472 nucleotides) under uncultured bacterium. RNAcentral describes it as "bacterial SSU rRNA". It matches the Rfam family "Bacterial small subunit ribosomal RNA", at positions 355 to 819 of the family's 1533-position model. The record is from RNAcentral.